RNAcentral lists this ribosomal RNA (439 nucleotides) under uncultured bacterium. RNAcentral describes it as "partial 16S ribosomal RNA". It matches the Rfam family "Bacterial small subunit ribosomal RNA", at positions 339 to 795 of the family's 1533-position model. The record is from RNAcentral.
CUACGGGGUGCAGCAGUGAGGAAUAUUGCACAAUGGGGGGAACCCUGAUGCAGCAACGCCGCGUGGAGGAUGACGCAUUUCGGUGUGUAAACUCCUUUUAUAUGUCAAGAAAAUGACGGUAGCAUAUGAAUAAGCACCGGCUAACUCCGUGCCAGCAGCCGCGGUAAUACGGAGGGUGCAAGCGUUACUCGGAAUCACUGGGCGUAAAGGACGCGUAGGCGGGUUGGAAAGUCAGGUGGGAAAUCCUACAGCUUAACUGUAGAACUGCACUUGAAACUUCUAAUCUAGAGUAUGGGAGGGGGAGAUGGAAUUAGUGGUGUAGGGGUAAAAUCCGUAGAUAUCACUAGGAAUACCUAAAGCGAAGGCGAUCUCCUGGAACAUUACUGACGCUAAGGCGUGAAAGCGUGGGGAGCAAACAGGAUUAGAUACCCUAGUAGUC